RNAcentral lists this ribosomal RNA (496 nucleotides) under uncultured bacterium. RNAcentral's name for it is "partial 16S ribosomal RNA". It matches the Rfam family "Bacterial small subunit ribosomal RNA", at positions 29 to 507 of the family's 1533-position model. The record is from RNAcentral.
AUGCACGCUGGCGGCGUGCCUCAUCCAUGCAAGUCGCGCGCACAGACGAGGAGCUUGCUCCUCUGACGUUAGCGGCGGACGGGUGAGUAACACGUGGAUAACCUACCUAUAAGACUGGGAUAACUUCGGGAAACCGGAGCUAAUACCGGAUAAUAUAUUGAACCGCAUGGUUCAAUAGUGAAAGACGGUUUUGCUGUCACUUAUAGAUGGAUCCGCGCCGCAUUAGCUAGUUGGUAAGGUAACGGCUUACCAAGGCGACGAUGCGUAGCCGACCUGAGAGGGUGAUCGGCCACACUGGAACUGAGACACGGUCCAGACUCCUACGGGAGGCAGCAGUAGGGAAUCUUCCGCAAUGGGCGAUAGCCUGACGGAGCAACGCCGCGUGAGUGAUGAAGGUCUUCGGAUCGUAAAACUCUGUUAUUAGGGAAGAACAAAUGUGUAAGUAACUAUGCACGUCUUGACGGUACCUAAUCAGAAAGCCACGGCUAACUACGUG